Long non-coding RNA from Manis pentadactyla (Chinese pangolin), 2111 nucleotides. RefSeq lists it as uncharacterized. The record is from RefSeq and is a predicted model, not a curated record. The transcript is spliced from 3 exons. NCBI's taxonomy places the organism in Eukaryota, Metazoa, Chordata, Mammalia, Pholidota, Manidae.
AAUCUGGUGGUAACUUCAAGAUGGCUAUAAAUUGAAUUUGAGUUUGUUCUCUCACUGGCUUUGAUGAAUAGAAUGUGGUAGAAACAGCGUUGUGUAACUUCAGUGGCUGGGCCUUAAGAAAUCUAUAGUUUCGGCUUUUGCUACUCUUAGAAUGUUUCUUCCUGGAAGUCAGCCACCAUGCAAGAAGCCCAUCUACCUUGAGACCACUAUGCUGUGAGGAGGUCCAAGCAAGCCACAGGGAGCAAGAGUGUGAGAGAAGCAUCAAGGCGUGACACACAAAUGAGGAAAAUCUACCCAGAGGCCCUUGCGGUCUUUCCACUGGCUCCCAUUACAGCAUGAGCCUUUGCCUGAGGAGACAUAGAUCGAAAAACUCUGCCUGUUAGCUUCAUACUACUGGCUUUUAAGGUUGGCAAAUGUUCCCUCCGCAAAAGCAGUGUGUGUGCCAGGCUCACUUCUCUGGAUUCAUGUCUUUUCCUGGAUCUUGGGCCUUAAAAUAGAAGUUUCUCUCUCUGGUGAACUUAAAACAAGCUUUCUUUGCCAAAAGAAGAAUAAAACCUCCCUGUGAAACCUCUCUGUGAAAGAAGACUCCCUCUGCACCUUAAGAACAGUUUCCAAACCUGGCUGAUUAACAAAAUCACUUGAGAAGCUUUUAAAAUGGCCCAAUCCUGGGAUGUAUAUACUCUGGCAGGUGAAGACUUUCUUAGGAUCUGUGACUAUGAAUGACUUUACGGUAAUUUCCAAAUCCUCAGUGUCCACAGGUACUUUUUCCUAAGAAACCACCUGUACUUAGGCAACCCCUUUAACAAAGCCCUCUUCGAAUUAAUAGCCACCUUAGUGGGUACUGAAGCCAAAUCUAGCCAAUCUGAGUAUACAGCCCUCCAGGUUUAAGUGGUUUUAGUAUGUCCCUGUAACUGAAAGAAGGACAAUCAGAAUCAUGAUUUUCUUCAAGGAUUGUGAGAAAAGAUUUGUACCUUCCGCUGUGGUUACUGAGGUCAUGGGAUGUGAGUCUAGCUUUCUGGGUGGCCAUCUUGCCUUCUGCAGGAAGUCUGUCUAAGAGAUGAAGAAAGGAAGAGAGAAAUAGAAUACUGACAAUGUGAUGAAGCCUCUGAAUCUUGUGCUAGACAAUAGUUGUACCCUUGGACUUCAUAGUUAAGUGAGCCAAUACCUUUAUUUCCACUCCUGCUUCAGCUAGUUUGAGUUGGGUUUGUUUCAUUGGCAAACAAUGAACACUCUGUUUCUCCAUUCUAGGAGACUGAUGUGACUAGGCAGGUUGCCAGGACAAGAUCUCAGGCCCCAGGGAAGAAGGCAGAUGCUUAGCUAUGAAACCUGGGUCUGAUAGGAUCAGAAGCACAGUAUUGAACUGAGAGCACAUAAAAUUUAGGCAACAAGCAGACCAACCAUUCCUGUCCUGCACUCAAAGAAGGCAUCAUUAAUCAAUCACAGAAUUCUUUCCUAUGGAGCCAGGACAUGCUAUUGCAGCCUUAUUUUUUCUUAGCAUAGAGCUCCAGGAAACCACUAUCACUGAUUUGGAUCUGUAUGUAUUUCCCAUCCUGAUUUAAUGCCUGAAGACUGAAAUACAUUUAUCUAGGAAAUGGGGUAGGGCAUAGAGGUUAAUAUAGUUUUGUUUAGAAAUGUUUCCUUUUUCCUUUCAAAGUAUUGCCUAGUUACUUUAUUAUUACUAAAGAUGUUCUGAAUGAAUAAUAGUAAAUUACUGAGCUUUCUUUUUAUACAUUUUAAAUAUUUACAUGUAACUGUAAAUUUGAUUCCUGGAUCUAUAUCUUUUCACUGGUACCUUUGUUUCUCUUAGUUGUUCCAGCAUAAUGAUAUUUGCAGUUGGUUCUGAGGAUUGUCAAGAACUGCUAUUUUUGGAGUUGUUACUCUGUCCUUUACAGAGAAAACACAGGAGAUAUUGAGGCUGACACAACAGUAUAUCACUUGGCAGAUUUUCCUCCUGUAGUCACAUAAUGCUUCCUUUUGCUAACCACCUUUUUUUCUGCCCUUAUCAAUAGGUAAUCAAUGAUAAUAGUCAAUUAUAUGGAUUUUCAUUUAACCUUUUUGUUUAAUUCAGUUGUUUCCCCACAACCAAAUAAACAGAUGUCCUACUCAGCUGA